This 497-nucleotide ribosomal RNA is filed under the name uncultured bacterium. RNAcentral's name for it is "partial 16S ribosomal RNA". It matches the Rfam family "Bacterial small subunit ribosomal RNA", at positions 28 to 507 of the family's 1533-position model. The record is from RNAcentral.
GAUGGACGCUGGCGGCGUGCCUAAUACAUGCAAGUCGAGCGAACAGACGAGGAGCUUGCUCCUCUGACGUUAGCGGCGGACGGGUGAGUAACACGUGGAUAACCUACCUAUAAGACUGGGAUAACUUCGGGAAACCGGAGCUAAUACCGGAUAAUAUAUUGAACCGCAUGGUUCAAUAGUGAAAGACGGUUUUGCUGUCACUUAUAGAUGGAUCCGCGCCGCAUUAGCUAGUUGGUAAGGUAACGGCCUACCAAGGCAACGAUGCGUAGCCGACCUGAGAGGGUGAUCGGCCACACUGGAACUGAGACACGGUCCAGACUCCUACGGGAGGCAGCAGUAGGGAAUCUUCCGCAAAGGGCGAAAGCCUGACGGAGCAACGCCGCGUGAGUGAUGAAGGUCUUCGGAUCGUAAAACUCUGUUAUUAGGGAAGAACAAAUGUGUAAGUAACUAUGCACGUCUUGACGGUACCUAAUCAGAAAGCCACGGCUAACUACGUG